CCUACGGGCGGCAGCAGUGAGGAAUAUUGGUCAAUGGGCGCAAGCCUGAACCAGCCAAGUAGCGUGAAGGAGUACUGCCCUACGGGUUGUAAACUUCUUUUAUAAAGGAGUAAAGUGAGGCACGUGUGCCUUUUUGUAUCUACUUUAUGAAUAAGGCUCGGCUAACUCCGUGCCAGCAGCCGCGGUAAUACGGAGGAUCCGAGCGUUAUCCGGAUUUAUUGGGUUUAAAGGGAGCGUAGAUGGGUUGUUAAGUCAGUUGUGAAAGUUUGCGGCUCAAACGUCACAUUGCAAUUGAUACUGGCAGCCUUGAGUACCGUUGAGGUAGGCGGAAUUCGUGGUGUAGCGGUGAAAUGCUUAGAUAUCACGCAGAACUCCGAUUGCGAAGGCAGCCUACUAAACUGCCACUGACAUUGAUGCUCGAAAGUGUGGGUAUCAAACAGGAUUAGAUACCCUUGUAGUC
Molecule: ribosomal RNA, 460 nt
Filed under: uncultured bacterium
Lineage: Bacteria
Description: partial 16S ribosomal RNA
Rfam family: Bacterial small subunit ribosomal RNA
Source: RNAcentral